AGAUGUACGCAGUCCAUACCACUACGUCAGGAGAAGUAGAAAGGUUGUUUCCGAUAGACCCCAGGCUUAAGACAAGGAAUAAUAAGCAAAUACUUAAUAAAACAUGGAACAAGAUGUCAAGACAUAAAUAAGCCACCCACAAGGAAUAAUAAACAAAGAAUAGCAAACAAAUUCAUAAUAAAGCAUUCAACAAAGUGUCCUAGCAAGAAUAAUACAUCUACCAAGUAAUGCCCUACCCCAACAACUCAAACUGGCACUAGCCUUCUAUCCUAAUCCGC
Molecule: long non-coding RNA, 278 nt
Filed under: Capsicum annuum
Lineage: Eukaryota; Viridiplantae; Streptophyta; Magnoliopsida; Solanales; Solanaceae
Description: long non-coding RNA (CANN_LNC020739)
Source: RNAcentral